Molecule: transfer RNA, 77 nt
Filed under: Mariprofundus sp.
Lineage: Bacteria; Pseudomonadati; Pseudomonadota; Candidatius Mariprofundia; Mariprofundales; Mariprofundaceae
Also listed under: 2 other names
Description: tRNA-Pro
Rfam family: tRNA
About the family: Transfer RNA (tRNA) molecules are approximately 80 nucleotides in length. Their secondary structure includes four short double-helical elements and three loops (D, anti-codon, and T loops). Further hydrogen bonds mediate the characteristic L-shaped molecular structure. tRNAs have two regions of fundamental functional importance: the anti-codon, which is responsible for specific mRNA codon recognition, and the 3' end, to which the tRNAs corresponding amino acid is attached (by aminoacyl-tRNA synthetases). tRNAs cope with the degeneracy of the genetic code in two manners: having more than one tRNA (with a specific anti-codon) for a particular amino acid; and 'wobble' base-pairing, i.e. permitting non-standard base-pairing at the 3rd anti-codon position.
Source: RNAcentral
CGGGGCGUAGCGCAGCUUGGUAGCGCAUCUGGUUUGGGACCAGAGGGUCGGGUGUUCGAAUCACCCCGCCCCGACCA